AUUGAACGCUGGCGGCAUGCUUUACACAUGCAAGUCGAACGGUAACAGGCCGCACUUUCCUGACGAGUGUCAACCGGGUGAGUAAUGCAUCGGAAUGUGCCCCGUCGUUGUGGAUAUCUACCCACUAGAGUAGCUCAUACCUCAUACGAUCUAUGGUUUUAAGCCGCGUGCUUCAAUACUUAACGACUUUUUUGCUGCCACUUCUAGAUUGGUCCGUGUCAGAUUAGGUAGUUGGUAAGGUAACGGCUUACCAAGUCAACGAUGCGUAGCCGACCUGAGAGGACAACCGGCCACACUGGGACUGAGACACGGUCCAGACUCCUACGGGAGGCAGCAGUAGGGAAUUUUGCGCAAUGGGCGAAAGCCUGACGCAGCAAUGCCGCGUGAAGGAAGAAGGCCUUCGGGUUGUAAACUGCUGUUGUAAGGGACGAAAAGACUUUGGAGAAUACACGCGGCUAAUGACGGUACCGAAUGAAAAAGCAACGGCUAACUACGUG
RNAcentral lists this ribosomal RNA (497 nucleotides) under uncultured bacterium. RNAcentral describes it as "partial 16S ribosomal RNA". It matches the Rfam family "Bacterial small subunit ribosomal RNA", at positions 30 to 507 of the family's 1533-position model. The record is from RNAcentral.